UGUCCCUGAGACAUGAUGGUGAAGGUCAGAGUAAACAGAUUUGGCCGUAAUGGGUGGCUGGUGACCAGGGCUUUUAACUCUGGCAAAAUAGAUAUUGUUAUCAUCAAUGACCCCUUCAUUGAACUCAACUACAUGGUCUACAUGUUCCAGUAUCGUUCCACCCAUGGCAAGUUCAAUGGCACAGUCCAAGCUGAGAAUGGGCAGCUUGUCAUCAAUGGAAGGCUCAUCUCCAUCUUCCAGGAAUGAGUUCCCACCAACAUCAAAUAGGGUGAGGCUGGUGCUGAAUAUGUUGUGGAGUCCACUGGUGUCUUUACAAUCUUGGAGAAGGCUGGGGCUCGUUGAAGGGUGGAGCCAAAAGGGUCGUCAUCUCUGCCCCUUGUGCUGAUGCCCCCAUGUUUGUGAUGGGCAUGAACCAUGAGAAGUGUGACAACUCCUUUAAGAUUGUCAGCAAUGCCUCCUGUAGCACCAACUGCUUGGCCCCCUCUGGCCAAGGUCAUCCAUGACAACUCUGGAAUAGUGGAGGGACUCAUACCACAGUCCAUGCUAUCACUGCCACCCAGAAGAUGGUGGGUGGCCCCUCUGGGAAGCUGUGGUGUGACUGGCCGUGGGGCUGCCCAGAACAUCAUCCCUGCUUCUAUUGGUGCUGUUGAGGCAGUGGGCGUCAUCCCUGAGCUGAAUGGGAAGCUCACUGGCAUGGAAUUCCAUGUCCCCACCCCCAAUGUGUCAGUUGUGGAUCUGACCUGCUGUUUGGAGAAAGCUGCCAAAUAUGAUGACCUCAAGAAGGUGGUGAAGCAGGCAUCAAAGGGUGCCUUAAAGGGCAUCCUGAGCUACAAUGAGGAUCAGGUUGUCUCUGUGACUUUAAUAGUGAUCCCACUCUUCCACCUUCAAUGCUGAGGUUUGCAUUGCCCUCAAAGACCACUUUGUCAAGCUCGUUUCCUGGUAUGACAAUGAAUUUGACUGCAGCAACAGGGUGGUGGACUUAUGGUCCACAUGGCCUCUAAGGAGUGA
Ceratotherium simum simum (southern white rhinoceros) is the source of this 1008-nucleotide non-coding RNA. Lineage: Eukaryota; Metazoa; Chordata; Mammalia; Perissodactyla; Rhinocerotidae. The record is from RefSeq and is a predicted model, not a curated record.